This is a small nucleolar RNA of Elaeis guineensis (African oil palm), 89 nucleotides long. The record is from RefSeq and is a predicted model, not a curated record. Lineage: Eukaryota; Viridiplantae; Streptophyta; Magnoliopsida; Arecales; Arecaceae.
UAGGAUGAUGAAAUGCACUGGGCUCUGAGCAGUGUAUCUGCAAAUAGUUUUGAUGGAAGUGCACUUGCCUGGAAAGCAUUGUCUGACAU